GAUGAAGAACGUAGCGAAAUGCGAUACUUGGUGUGAAUUGCAGAAUCCCGUGAACCAUCGAGUCUUUGAACGCAAGUUGCGCCUCAAGCCAUUAGGUUGAGGGCACGUCUGCCUGGGCGUCACAUAUCGUUGCCUGAUGCCAGUUUCCUCGUGAUGGGUGACUGUGCAGGGCGAAUGAUGGCUUCCCGUGAGCAUUGUUGCCUCAUGGUUGGUUGAAAAUUGAGUCCUUGGUAGGGAGCGCCGUGAUAGAUGGUGGUUGAGUGACGAACGAGACCCAAUCAUGUGAGACCCCUACCGAAUUUGGCCUUCAUGACCCACAUGCGUCUUUGGAACGCUCAUGACGAGACCUAGGUCAGGCGGGGCUACCCGCUGAGUUUAAGCAUAUCAAUAAGCGGAGGA
RNAcentral lists this unclassified non-coding RNA (399 nucleotides) under soil metagenome. RNAcentral describes it as "partial contains 5.8S ribosomal RNA, internal transcribed spacer 2, and large subunit ribosomal RNA". The stretch from base 1 to 122 matches the Rfam family "5.8S ribosomal RNA", at positions 35 to 154 of the family's 154-position model. The record is from RNAcentral.